Molecule: transfer RNA, 70 nt
Filed under: Microcaecilia sp. PZ-2009
Lineage: Eukaryota; Metazoa; Chordata; Amphibia; Gymnophiona; Siphonopidae
Description: tRNA-Ala
Rfam family: tRNA
About the family: Transfer RNA (tRNA) molecules are approximately 80 nucleotides in length.
Source: RNAcentral
AAGGCUUUAGUUUAAAGUAAAAUAUUUGUGUUGCAUUCAGAAGAUGUUAGAUAUAACCUUACAAGUCUUA